Long non-coding RNA from Acinonyx jubatus (cheetah), 7768 nucleotides. RefSeq lists it as uncharacterized. NCBI's taxonomy places the organism in Eukaryota, Metazoa, Chordata, Mammalia, Carnivora, Felidae. The record is from RefSeq and is a predicted model, not a curated record. The transcript has 3 exons.
AUCAGAUGAAGUCCAGGGAGUAAAAGGAUUAAAAAUUCUCCAAGGAAAUACAUUCUAAGUCUGACAAUCUUUUAAAUAAUCUAUCCAAGGAAUUUUAUAUCUUACCAGUGAAUUUGCUCUUUCAAAGUUUGGUAUAAUAACAACUGAUAUUUACAUAGUGCUUAUUUGGGGCUAGGGACUAGUCUAAGUGCUUUUAAAAAAUUAUAUAUUAAAUCCUCGAAUUCUCAUAGCAACUCUAUUAAGUAGGUCCUAUAUUUACUCCUAUUUUAAAAAUGAGGCAACUAAGGCACAGAGAGAAUCAGUAACUCACCUAAGUUUUCACAGUGAGUAAAGGCAUAAUCAGGAGUUGAAUUCAAAUAGUCUAGCUUUGAGGCUUAAGAUACUUCACUUUCAUCAGAAAAAAGAGAGAAUUUAAAGGCAGAUAAAGAAGGAUCAGUCAUUUUUGCCCAAUGGUUUAGGUGACCACACUUCAUGUCUCAGUGACAAAAAUGAAUCCAGUGUUCCAACCAGCACUAAUACUCUGUGGCUCUGGAAUCCACUUCUCCUUCCCUUUAUUCUUACCAUGGUCUCCUCACCUGACAGUCUGCUCCAUAUGCCUGCUGGUGUCUAUGGGCUGAUUAUAUUUGAAAUGAUGCUGAGGAGUGUGGCAUAGGUCCAGUCAUAAGAAAGCCACUCCAUCAGAGUGGAGCCCUCAGCUGGGGUUUCUAGAUGGGUUGGAACAAGUCACUUUCUUUUUAGAUCUGUAAGGGGAACCCACACAUGGACUCUGGUUAAGCAGUAUGUCAUUUUCCACAACUCAGCUCGUGAUUGCCAAAUUUCUAUGCAAAGGCGACAUUGUAUGAAAAAUCAGAUGCUUUUUUGUCUGAUUAAAGUUAAGCAUAAAAAUAUUAUGGAUCCAUAAGAAUAGAAUAACAGUGGUACCUGGGCGGUUGAGUUGGAUAAGCGUCUGACUCUUGGUUUCAGCUCAGGUCAUGAUCUCACAGUUUGUGAGAUUGAGCCUUGAGUCAGACUCUGCACUGACAGGUUGGAGCCUGCUUGGGAUUCUCUUUCUCCCUCUUUCUCUGCCCCUCCCCCACUCAAGUUAUCUCUCUCUCUCUCUCUCUCUCUCUCUCUCUCCAAAUAAAUAAGUGAACUUUAUUUAUUUUUUUUAAUUUUUUUUAACGUUUAUUUUUGAGACAGAGAGAGACAGAGCGUGAACAGGGGAGGGGCAGAGAGAGAGGGAGACACAGAAUCUGAAACAGGCUCCAGGCUCUGAGCAGUCAGCACAGAGCCCGACGCGGGGCUCGAACUCACGGAUCGUGAGAUCACGACCUGAGCCGAAGUCAGACGCUUAACCGACCGAGCCACCCAGGCGCCCCUAAAUAAGUAAACUUUAAAAAAAGAAUAGAAUAACAAACUUCAGGAAAAUUUUCGAUCUGAGAUUACGGACUAAUAACGGAGUUGAGCAACUCAACUAGAUGAUAGUGCUGCAGAGUGAAGAGAAUAGACUAUAACAGGAAGAGAUACUAGCUAGCUGAGCUCAUCCAGGUUGCAAAACAAAUCUUUGUCAUUAACUUGUUUAUUUUCUGUUUCACUUUAUGACUCUUUUUCUUACUAUUUUAAUAGUUUUUGUUUUGUAUUCAUUAUUUAACAUUUUGCAUCAUUGAUUCAUGGUGAUUGUCUCUAGUUCUAAGAUCUUUGGGUCUAAGACCUUGAACCAACAUUAGGACCCCCUGGGCCAAUCAUCUUGUUUUGUGAGUGAAAGGGCUGAGACCAAAUCAGUUAAGGGACUUUUCAAGUGUAGUGAGUGAGAUGAUGGGAGAUGCCUGAGAGCUCUCGUGGUGGUUGGAGCUCAGCUUCCUCCAACCAAAAUUGGUGUUGGGGCAGAGACAGAGGAGAGCAGCAGCUGUUUGAUCCUGGCUUUAUCCCUUCUCCAGACCCUGUGGAAGCUUGUCUGCUGGAGUCCUCAUCUAACUGCUCUCUGCCCCUUGGAGUGAGAUCAUUGUUUUGCUAACAAGUUUUGGGGUGGAAAAGAGUCCUGUGGAUUUGUCCCAGAAUAUUGUCCGUUUAACUGAGGCUCACUCAUUGGAGAAACAGGGUGCUGUGGCCACACUGGGGAGGAAGUAACUGGCCCAGUGUUCUCACCUCAGCAGGACAGCACGGAAUGACCCAGAAUGACCCCGUUCGGGAUGAUCCUUGGCAUCGCCCUCUGUUUCUGACCUGUGGCAGAGGAAAGAAGGAGCAAGAAACACGGUGUCAGAGAGAGGGAUAAAUUAAGAGGCCAAACAUAAAGAACAUGAAGAACACUCAUGAUUGUUUUGUUAUUAGAAUUUGGGUUUACAUAUGUGUAUGUAUCUCGGAAGGAUAUUGUAAGGAAUAAAAUCAAUUUAUAUGUAUAAAGUGCUGAGAAUGGGACCUGGCAAUCUGUGAAUGUUAGCUAUAGUUACUCUUUAAUCCUAGACUUCACAUUUUCUUUCGGUGAGCCCCUCCUGGCCCAUUCCUCUCUGUGAUAAUCUGAACUCUUCCUGUUCCUUUUAAUCUCAGAUAAAUCUCCUCUGUUUUAUGAAACCAAUGAAACCAUUAUGUGUACCAUGCACUUAAUCCAUAGCAAGCCCUACUUUAUUGUGUAUUAGUUUUUCCUUAUGUACCUUUUGUCUGCCUCAAUUAGACUGAAGUCCUUAAGGACAGCAAUGCUCCUGUAUGAAUUCUUGUGUCUUCUGUGUCUUAUUCAGUGUUUUGUGCACAUAGUUCCUCAAGUAAUUUUUGUUACUGGGGCUAUGAAAACAGUCACCAAGAAGAAUUUGGAAAGAGCAUGAUGUAAAAGUAGAGAAAUCAUAUUUGGGCUAUGUUGGCUCCUACUCUGACCCUGAGGAAGGCAGAGCUUUCUUGGUUGGAAAGCUGGGAUGAUCACAGUGCUUUUUGUUGCUACCAUGUGGCUUUUCUUUGAAAUGUUAUCUCUGGAAACCACAUAGAAAUUUUCACUUCUCUUCCAGUUUAUCUGAUAAGGAAAAGAUGCUGACAUGUAUUUGCCAAUGCAAUUCCAAGGAAGUUUUUCUCCCACAAUCAUCUGCAAACCCCUCUGCAGAAAGUUCUGCAGGGUUUUGGCAUGAGGGUUGCCCAGCGCCUCAUCACCUCAUCGCCACACAUGGCUUAUCUGGAAGGCGGGCACUCUACGUGGGUCAGCGUUCCUGUGGUUGGCAUUCCUGCUUGGAUCCUGGUGGUGAGAUGGUUGCAGGAAGGUAAGUGCAGAGGGAGGGCAGAGAGAGAGAUGCAUGAAUGCAGCCCCAGCUUCUCUCAGCCUCAGGUGGAAGAGUCUGUCUAGUCUGGCUUAGCUUAAAGGAUGUGGGUUUGUCCUGAGGUGAACUUGAUGGGAAAAGUUUGCUCUAGUUCUGAACUCAGUUCUUGGAAACUCAUGCCAAAUGAAUAUCUGUUGAAUGAAGAAAUGAGUCAGUGAGGGAGGGAAUGGCCUUAAGAAAACCGAGGUUGGUUCAAGCCCUCAAAUUGAAAAUGUGAAAAAUGGUCUGCGUGUCUAUCAUAGUGGCUCAAGCCACAUCUUUAAUGUCUCCCCAAGUUUUAGAAUAAAAUGGCAUCAUAAACUUACACAAUCUUUCCAUCCAGAGCUCUAAGCCUUAUGCCAUCCUCUAAUCUAUUUCUAGAGCUGUCUAAGAUGCAAACGUGAUCACGUUAUGCUCACUCCUUCAAUAGCUUUUUGCCACACUCAGAAAACAUCCAAAGUCCUUGGGCAUAUCAUGCAAAGCACUCCAUGUUUCCCCCUCUACCUUUUUUCUUUUCUUUUCUCAUCUUAUCUAUUGUUUUUCAAUUCAGUAAAGUUCCAUUUCUCCUCCUUUGACUGUGGAAAGCUAUUUGUUGUCCUCCAAUAUGCAAGACACUCUCAAGCCUCCUCACCUUUGCAUAAAUGGCUCCUCUGCCAGGCAUGCGCAUCAGCUUUUAUUCCUCGACUAAUAUCUAUUCAUCCCCCAAGGAUUAACUCAAGACUUUCCUCCUGGAUGAAUCUUUCUCUGAUCUCUUUCUAGGUAGAGUUAGGGGCUCUCUUCUCAUAUUAUCCCAGCAACUUUUGCCAAUUUCCAUUAUAACAUACUUUCUUUUCUCCCAACACACCUAAUCAAUGAAAAGUAUUCCAUCAUACACAUGAGCAUAAUUUAGGUAGAGAGUGAUUGUUGUCCAUAAGUAUAAUUAUGAAAUUGUAAUUUAGUAUAAUGAUGAUAUUAUGGACAUUGAAGUUAAUAUUGCCUGAGUUUCCUUUACAGAGCCCCCAUUUUUUGAAUUGGGCUAGUUUGUAACCUCUUUAAGCCUCAAUUUAUCCAUCUAUGAAACCAAGAUAAUAAUCAUAUUCACCCCUUAGCUUCAUGUGAGUAUUAAGUGAAAUGUUGACGGCCAAUGUCCCAGCACAAUGCCUUGAACACAGUGUGUAUUUAAUAUUGUCGUGCAGACACAGAUGAAGAUAAAAUUUAUUUUUGUGUUCCCUGCUUCCAGCAAGAAAGGAGCUAGAAAAGCAGUUUGAACUCACCGAGGCUAACCUUUCCUAGAAGGAGGUUGAGAUGAGGGAUAUUCUUUAGAAUCACUCUAGAUGGCUAUCCUUAGAAGGUUAUUGCUUCAUUAUCUGGGGGAAACGGAUGGCAUAAGACUGUUUUGAGACCCAAACCCUGGGCUAGAAGGGAGAAGAGGAGGAUGGGGUUCUGGGUGCCUGCACUGGCAGACUUCUGAGCCAAACCUAACUCUGUGCUCUAGGUCUGACAUGCAGGUAGAGUGGGGUGUGUCCGUACAAGGAAGAAACACUGAUGUAAAAAUGCUGGAAUUGAGAAUUGGCCCUGACACAGAGUGCUGGGCUCAGGUCUCACAGCAAGCUUCUCCUUAGCUCUCAGUGGCUUACCACCCAGAGGUAGCACCCAAAGUGGAAUGCCCCUGGGCUGGAAUCCACCUCCUAGCCCAAGAUACUCUUAAACUGGAACAAAAUAGAGUCCACGAUCUUAGAUUGGUUCCCAUUACUGGUAGGUAGAAGAAUGGGCUUGUUCAUCAGGUAUCUGGAUUGAAACUGGAUUAUAUUAGUUGCAUAAGGAAACUUAGAAAGGGCUUGGGGACCCUCACAUUAUGAUAUCACCAUUAGUUAUUAAAUGAAUGGACUCUGUAAGAUGGAGUUGAUUUUGAGUUCCCUUGCUGUGUCCAAAAUGGGUUGGAUACACCACAGGCUGUGCAAGACAGUUCACUGAAGUGUGGGAGGAAAAUAUUAGAUCUUCUAUUUGUAAUUUUUAAUAUAUGUAUAAAAAUGUAUAAGUGUACUUACAAUAUAUAGUGUUUGGUUUCACGCAGACAAACCCCAAUAAAAUAGAUUAGUAGCACAAAAAAUAUUUUUGCAAAAAAAAAAAACACAACCCCCAAAUCUCUGCAAUGCUCCACAUCCUGAAGAUAACACUAACAGCAUAAAUACAAGAAAAUCCUAAAACAGGUCAAAAUUGACUCUUUUCUUAGUUUUAGUUGUUAAAAGAUAAACUGAGGCAUAUUAAAAAUGUUGAGUUUAUUUGAACAAAACUUGAUUUGCAUUAGGCAGCACCCUAACAGAUUGAAAGGAGCUCUGAGGAGCAGUACAAAAUGAAAGACUUUGGUAGGAAGAAGAGAACAGGAAUGAGGAAGUUGUACUAGGCAAAAGGCUGGGCUGGUUAUUGCUGUUAUUUUCCCUUAGGCAAUGGCAGGAAUCUAUCAGGCAGAUGACCCAACUAGUGUUGAUCAAGUGGUUCCUGACCUACUGGUUUAGAUUCCUUUCUGGGAAAGCUGAAACUGUAAUUAGGUCUCGGUGUGAUGAUGGGGGGGAGGGAUAAGCAUCAGCAACCCCUUUUGGGGCCUGUUGUCUUGUUUUUAACAUAGUAUAAACUUGUCAACCAUGAAAUUGUAUUAAAACAAUGAUGAUCUAAGCAGAUCUGACAGUAUGCUACAUUAAAGGUAUUUUUUUGUGAAAGUAAAUUCAGUAUCUUCUUUCAAGGUCAAGAAAGUAUUUGAUCAGUGAGUGAGACAAUAAUUGCUUUUCAAAAGAAACCCAUACUGUGAAAAAUGCUUUAUGAAAAUGAUGCUUCCAUUAAAUGUUGCUGUAAAUGAUUUUAUGUUAUCAAGUAUUAAUUAUUCUUUCUCAGUACACCAACAAAAUUAGAAAGUAGGGUUUUCUGAACUAUUUUUCAAAUCUUCCAAAAAGAUUUAGUGUAGUUUUGACCCAUUUGCUUAAAAUACGUAAAAGUGCAACACCUUGCAAUUCACUUACAAGAAUAAUUGAUAUCAGGACAGAUGUUAAUUUGCUAGUUAAUUUCAUUAAAAGUUUUAGCCUAAUUUGUAAUGACCUAACUACUCAAAUUCUAGCAGCAAAGAAGAGUGAACAGAGGUGUUAUUCCACUCCACUAUCUUUACAUUAGUAGGUAUCUUUCAAUGAGGCAAAACAGAGUCCAUCUCCCAGGUGGAAGAUAAUUUUGUGUCUACAUCAAAUAAUUUUUUCCCGACAGAUAUUAAGUCACAUAGAAAGUAUGACCACAACCGGUCAUCCUGUUUUUUCCCAAAUCGGAAGUUUGAGCCACAACUAUAUAAAUAUUUUUUUUUCUGGGACUCCAUGUUUCUGGGGAAUUUGCCUUCAAAAAUAAAUAAAUGGCCAUUAUUCAGUUAAAAUUGAACACAGACCCAGGGACUCAGGUUUUAGGAUUUACUGUGGGUAAGUCAUUUAAAUGAAAAAUACUAAAACUGACACUUUAUUUAAUCUUCAUGAGAAAAUCAGAACUGUGAUAUGCUCAAAAUCAUACACACACACACACACACACGUUUGGAAUUAAGAGAAAAAAGGAAAAAUUACACUGAUAUUAUUUAACUAUGUUUUUAUUUAUUUAUUUAUUUAUUUAUUUAUUUUUAUUUAUUUUUGAGAGAGGGAGAGAGACAGAGCAUGAGUGGGAGGGUCAGAGAGAGAGGGAGACACAGAAUUUGAAGCAGGUUCCAGGUUCUGAGCCGUCAGCACAGAGCCCAGUGCAGGGCUCAAACUCACAAACCAUGAUAUUAUGACUUGAGCCAAAGUUGGAUGCUUAACUGACUGAGCCAACCAGGCGCCCCUAUGUCUUUUAUUUAAUAGGGUAACAGGGGCUAUCUCAGCGGGUAAUCCAGAAACUGCUUCAGUUUCUAGGUAAAUUGCUUCUUGUUCAGUUUUUCUCCAGAGAAUUGUGCCUAUAGGUUGCAGCUCAAAAGAAUGCCAAACCUUCCAACUAUGGGCUGUCCUGAUUACUGCCCCACUUACCUCCAGCUGUCCCCCAAAUCCAACACACAUUCCAGCAGAGUACUGGGGAGGGGAAAAUAAAACCUAUCAGUUAGGAUUAGGUUCAUCUGAGAAUAAAAUGGACCACUUUUCUUCCCAUCCAACCUCCACAAACACAAAAAGUGCCUUAAAAAGAUAGAGGUAUCAUUCUCUCAUGUAAAACAAUUUCAGAGAUAAUAAGUCCCGGAAUGAUGACAACCUCACAGUCAUCAAAGAACCAGUCUUUCCCCAAGAUUCUGCUUCAACAUGCUUAAGAGUUGGUCCUUGUUUUUAUGGUUCAACAUGGCUGCUGGAGUUCAAACCAUCACAUCAGCAGGAUGGAGGGAAUGUAGGGGAGGGCUUUUUAAUCUAAGGAUUUGAAGUGUCCUGAAGUGUCACACAAUGCUUCCACUUACAUCAUAUGGCUCCAAAUUAAUCACAUGGCUAGUCCUAGCUGAAAGGGAGAUUGAAACAUAUUUUUUACUACAUUCCAAGCUAAAAGGUAUAUUUCUUAAU